Molecule: transfer RNA, 72 nt
Filed under: Salmo salar (Atlantic salmon)
Lineage: Eukaryota; Metazoa; Chordata; Actinopteri; Salmoniformes; Salmonidae
Rfam family: tRNA
About the family: Transfer RNA (tRNA) molecules are approximately 80 nucleotides in length. Their secondary structure includes four short double-helical elements and three loops (D, anti-codon, and T loops). Further hydrogen bonds mediate the characteristic L-shaped molecular structure. tRNAs have two regions of fundamental functional importance: the anti-codon, which is responsible for specific mRNA codon recognition, and the 3' end, to which the tRNAs corresponding amino acid is attached (by aminoacyl-tRNA synthetases). tRNAs cope with the degeneracy of the genetic code in two manners: having more than one tRNA (with a specific anti-codon) for a particular amino acid; and 'wobble' base-pairing, i.e. permitting non-standard base-pairing at the 3rd anti-codon position.
Source: Rfam by way of RNAcentral
GGGGGUAUAGCUCAGUGGUAGAGCAUUUGACUGCAGAUCAAGAUGUCCCAGGUUCAAAUCCUGGUGCCCCCU